UACGUAGGGUCCGAGCGUUGUCCGGAAUUAUUGGGCGUAAAGAGCUCGUAGGCGGUUUGUCGCGUCUGCUGUGAAAUCCCGAGGCUCAACCUCGGGCCUGCAGUGGGUACGGGCAGACUGGAGUGCGGUAGGGGAGAAUGGAAUUCCUGGUGUAGCGGUGGAAUGCGCAGAUAUCAGGAGGAACACCGAUGGCGAAGGCAGUUCUCUGGGCCGUAACUGACGCUGAGGAGCGAAAGCGUGGGAGCGAACAGG
Molecule: ribosomal RNA, 252 nt
Filed under: uncultured bacterium
Lineage: Bacteria
Description: partial 16S ribosomal RNA
Rfam family: Bacterial small subunit ribosomal RNA
Source: RNAcentral